This 735-nucleotide long non-coding RNA is filed under the name Homo sapiens (human). RNAcentral describes it as "non-protein coding lnc-MFSD9-20:5". The record is from RNAcentral. Lineage: Eukaryota; Metazoa; Chordata; Mammalia; Primates; Hominidae.
AGUCUCCACCAUCUCGAUGGCUUGCUUCAUUUCCAGCUUCUUGUACAAAGAAACAAUGCUUGAUUUGGUUUUCUGCCCUCAUGAGAAGCCGCGGUUCCUGUGUAUUCUCAGCCCACGCUGUACCAGUUCUCUCUGAAACAACCUACACCAAGUCAACUGCGUCUUCCACCUGACAAUUCUUCAUUUUCCAGGCUUAGCAUGCCCUGGAAUUUCAACCACUUCCUGUAGGGGAUGGCUCAGGAGCACUUUAUCUUCUUGGUCUCCAUUCCCUGAAUUCUCUCUGAUUUUAUGCCCAGCUUCCAAUGGAACCUUUAGAAGUUUGUCAGGGAGUGAAACCCUCAGCCUCCUUACUUGUCUCUCACUUGGUAGUGACUCCAGUGCCCACACACAUCUUCGAUUCCAGCCUUUAAGUGAUCCAUCAGCUGCCAAACAAACACAAGAAAAUGAUUGCUGGAGAAACGCGAACUCUGAAAGACACACAGGACAACUAAGACACUUUAAAAAACAAAGGAGCCUUUAAUUUUCUGGAGCCUAUCUGACUUUCUAUCACUGUGUUCAUGUAAUAAAAUAUUUGGUGCCUUUCAUAGUAAUUUCAUAGUAAUUUCAACUUUGGUUUAAAGACUCUGUAGAUAAGUUUCUUCAUAAUUCACAUAAUACGUAAUGAAAACAGGGCACCUGGCAUUUGCUUUGGAUAAUACUUUUCUAGAAUGAUCUAGGAAAUUUCUCAUUACUGAA